GGCUACUUCCGGUCUGGAACGACCAAGUGCCCCCGGACCAGGGAGGAGGACACCCUGGCGCUAAAGGCCAGCACGCGCCGCCUGCAUCCACAAUUUACAGGCGCAAAAAUGUCUAAACGGCACAGCCUUGAAGGCUGACUUCCAUAAUUCAUAUCGAGAAAAGAGGAGAGAAGGCUUCGUUGGUCGCAGAACGUUGAUCUCUUUGAUAGAAAAAGUUGACGGAGAGAACCGGCUGCGCCAAAUGUUUUAAUACUGUGGCUUUUGACAUCGUCUUUUACGUCUUGGAUGACCACAGAUUUUGUCACCUCAGCUGUUUCUUUGAGCUUUCUCUGGCUGAGGAGUUAGUUGAACUCUUAAGAUUUUUUAUCCAGAAAAUGGUUUUCUUGUCAUCAAAAACCGAAAUCUUUGUAACCAACUGACGUUGCUGCACAUCCUCCACUGCCUGAAGUUUUCAGACGCCGAAGAGGCAGUUCAGAGGUCGCCUUCAAAGGCAUGUUUGCAAGAGGUUGCCUGAGGAGAAGAGCUAGGAAGAGCCGCCCUGCGAAAGGCCGCUUCCUAACUUUGAACUGGAAUUUUGACUUCUUUCAGCCAGCUCUUCGGCGGGCUGUGUUUGAAAGAAGUCAGUAUUGUAGGUCUCGUGAACUGUUUUGAGCCAGACAAAUCUCAAGACAAUGACUUACGAAACAAUCGGUCAUACUUCACCACCAUCAUAAAGGUCACAUGAACGAUGGUGGGCGUCCUUCAGAGGACGGCUUGAAGGCUAAACCUUAACUGAAGGAGAAAAGAGAUGAAGGAACCAAGAUUCGUAAUUUGUUCCUACCUCUGUGAAUUCCUGCUGCCUCCAUAUAAGCAAAAAGUCGAUGACUUUGACAAGAUGUGGAGCAGCAGCAGUCCUCUGGCGCCAGAGACCAGAGAGGCUGGUCAGACCUCGAGUGCUCGUUCCAAGUGUGGUCUCGAAGCACUUCGACGUUGGCCUUUGGGUCAAAAAGUGACAACAAAAUUUGAUUUCCAAUAGGAGCAGUAGAAUUCGACCUGUCAAUGGGGAAGGAGACUCUUGUGACGUUUUUGCUGAACAAGAAUUGAAAAAAGUGGGAUUUUCAGCCAACAAGUUAAUUGCAAGAAAACGUUUGCUGAGAUUGCUACUGCCAUCCCACUUUCCACUUCUGUGACAAAGCAGAAAACCGGAGGAAGAAACUCUUCUUGCCGCCAUCAAGAAGGAUUCCGAGCCUUGGUCAAAACCUGCAGCAGACCAGGGAGGUCUUCGCCAAAGCUCCAUUCGUACCUUCACAGCAAAUUUCGACCAGCGCCAAUUCUAAGCCGCUCCAAAGGGACUGACCCUGUGAGUGGCGGUCGCCCUCGUUCUCCCAAGGUGACCAGUGUGGCUAGAAGCCCUGCGACAACCUGUUGCGGGCUCCGAGUGUUCCAAAGGCGCUUCUUGCGUCAUCCGCUCUCCGACGCUUGGAACACAAAACUGGCUGCGUCCGCGGACUGCAACCGCGUGGCAUCGCUUAAAGACUGAGCCUCGAUCACUUUCCUGCCAACCAUGCUUGGCCUGGUUGCUGACAAUCCGUUCCUCCCCUAACCCUUUUCGCCUUUUCUCCACAACUCUCGUCUUCUAGAGUCACUUUUUUUAGAAUUUUUAUUGCCAAGUGUUUUGCCUUUGAAAAAAAAGGGAAUUUUACUGCGCGUUUGGUCAGCAUUUCGAACUUUUUGACGUCAUUAAUUGUAAACGAAACAUAUUUCCGUUAAAAUAACACACGAAGAGAGCCAGUUAAAUUCAAUUAAAAAAUUGAAAAGCUCACAUUGUCAUGGCUUUUGGCCUUGCGGUGUGUGCCACAAAAUUUAAUAUUGUUCGAACUGAAAAAUUCUUCUCGGAUGCACUUUUUUAAUGAAAGGUGCUAAUAAUUUUGAUAGAAGAAGAUCCAUUUUUUUUAAAUGAAAUGGAUUAUAAAUUCCUUGGAAAUGUGAUUUCCAGUUAAGAAAUCAGCCCUACUUUUUGCUUGAAAAACUCUUACUUUCGUGAGCCUUAAUUACUUUUGUAAUUGGGAGAUAGUUUUGUGCUUUUCGAUGUUUUCAAGUUUGCAAAGAAUCAGUCUCAGACCUGCAAACAUGAAUUUUGUUUAGAACUUCUUGUUCAGCUUGUGGUGUGAUUUCUCCAGAAUAUUCUUUGCACAGAAAGACUUCGCAGUUGAGGAACUUCACAUUUGUGGUCGGCGCCGAGAAAAAUAAAAUUAUCCACAAGGGUGAAUAUUGAGCCAAAUUCAAGUUGACGGGCGUCCAUGGACUUGCGGUGGUGGCGUUAAUCUUAUUUUUUUCCUAAAACCAGCCGCGGGUUUUUGGCCACCCCGCAGUCCGCCUGACGGGCAGGUCGGGCUUCUCGAUCGCGAGCAACCUUUUCCGAAUCGCAACUUGACAUUAAGCAAUUUUCGCUCUUUUUGGAUGAAAAGUAUUUAUUUUGUUUUUUUUUUAAUUCUCUCUUACGCCUUGCUUUGAUUGUGAAACGGGCGUCCAUGGACUGUGAGGCGGCGUCCGAAAUUUGACGGGCCGAAUUUUGAAAGCAGCCCUCGGGACAGGGCGUCGCGAUUUCCGCCCCCACAGUCCGCCUGAUGGGCAGGUCGGGCUUCUCGAUCGCGACAUUUUACCGCAAUAAAAUUCACAAAUGCACGUCAAAGGCCUUAAUUUGAAUGAAAAACUCUGGUCGUUCUUUUAUUUUGUGCUUUUGCCAUAUUUUUUCUUGCACUUUUUGGUAGGAAUCGAUGAAAGUUGGAAAUAAGAGUUUUAAUAAUUAAUUUAUUGGGCUGAUUAUUAUUUUCCAUUUCUGGUCUGACUUCCAAGCCAAUUUAGUCUCUAACAAUUGGUUUCCUAAGAUAAAAUAAUCUCAAGCUUAAAAAAUUAUAAUUUUAAUUCAUCGAUUGGUGACGGAAAAUUUUAAAUUUUUUCUUUUCAGAAUUCCUAUUGGAGAAAAAUGCAGUUUGGAAGACAAAAAUCCACUAGAGAUUUGUUCGAUUAUUAUUCUUUUCAGCUUCCUGUUUUCCUGAAUUAAUUCCUCCGCAGCAGAAUUCCUACAAAUGAUUGCAUUCCUCUUGCAAAUGUUUUUGAAUCACCUGAUCUCAUCAUCUUAGUUUUUUUCCAUUUUCUGCAGAGUUUUUUUUUUUACUGAAAAAACUCGAUCGAAUCUGGCGCGUUGUGUCUAAAAAUAAUUUCCAAACUUAUAAAAAUAAUUAUAAAUUAAAAGCUUCCAGAAAAUUUUAACUUAUUCGCGCGCGUCAAUUUUGUCCAUUUUUUGCCGCACAAACGGCCACUUUUGCACAGCGGCCGAGCGUCCACUGCGUUCGUCCACUUGCCGGACGACGCAGGCCAAAUGAAGGCAGAAAUUCUGGCUCUUUUUUUUGCACUCCUUCAUUCGGCAACCAAACAGGCCAAAAAAGGCCCAAAUUUUACUUUCCGGCUUUUCGACUUGUUAAUUUUUUCAGCGGCCAAAACAAACCAUCCAGAGAUGUUAAAAAAUAGAGUAAAUUUUCCAAAUUUACACAAAACAUACAAAAAAGAAACAAUUUUUAAAAGUGAAAAGCCAGCGUUGAAAUUUUCGGAUAUGGUGAUGCAAACGGCAGUAUUUUUGUUUCAACCCUUUUUUUCAGCUUUUUUUAACCGUAGCCUACUCUUCUUUUGCAAAGUAACGUAGUUUUAAAGCCACAGUCGCGUCUCUGUCUUUUCGUCUUGAUCUUUCUCUGACAUGCAAACUUUUCCUCCCCGGAGCGUCUUGCCUGGUGACCAGGUCGAGGAUGAGGUGACAGGUCAGGGAUACCGAAGGUGUGGCUGCGCGGUUGUGGUCCGUGCCCCGCUCCUGCACACCCUGACAAUGACAACCCCUUCCUGUGUGCAACCCUCUCGCCAACUGAGCUGGACACUGAGAAGAAACCCCACGUCAAAUAAUUCACCCUUUAAUAAAUAAAAACUUUAUUUUUGUUACUCCUU
Neocloeon triangulifer is the source of this 3975-nucleotide long non-coding RNA. RefSeq lists it as uncharacterized. The record is from RefSeq and is a predicted model, not a curated record. Lineage: Eukaryota; Metazoa; Arthropoda; Insecta; Ephemeroptera; Baetidae. The transcript is spliced from 11 exons.